CAGACCACCAUAGCUUUCACUCCGAUCCACCAACGUGAGACAGAUAAACGAAGUGGUGCAGUGCAGACUCCGCAAACCGAUGGCGAGCGACCCCCUCUUGAGGUUUGCUUUGCUUAUGCAGAUGUAGAUGCUGCAUACAAGAGGGCGGUGGAGAACGGAGCAGUGGCGUUGAGCCAGCCGGAGGACAAAGAAUGGGGACAGAGAGUUGGAUACGUGCGUGAUAUCGAUGGAAUCGUGGUGAGGAUGGGAAGCUAUGUAACGAAGCCUGCA
RNAcentral lists this unclassified non-coding RNA (270 nucleotides) under Hevea brasiliensis (rubber tree). Lineage: Eukaryota; Viridiplantae; Streptophyta; Magnoliopsida; Malpighiales; Euphorbiaceae. The record is from RNAcentral.